GGGGCAGUAGCUCAGUUGGUUAGAGCAGGGGACUCAUAAUCCCCGGGUCGUGGGUUCAAUUCCUACCUGCCCCA
Molecule: transfer RNA, 74 nt
Filed under: Planctomycetaceae bacterium
Lineage: Bacteria; Pseudomonadati; Planctomycetota; Planctomycetia; Planctomycetales; Planctomycetaceae
Description: tRNA-Ile
Rfam family: tRNA
About the family: Transfer RNA (tRNA) molecules are approximately 80 nucleotides in length. Their secondary structure includes four short double-helical elements and three loops (D, anti-codon, and T loops).
Source: RNAcentral